UACGUAGGGAGCAAGCGUUGUCCGGAUUUAUUGGGCGUAAAGAGCGUGUAGGCGGUUAGGUAGGUCCGUUGUGAAAACUCGAGGCUCAACCUCGAGACGCCGAUGGAAACCAUCUAACUAGAGUCCGGAAGAGGAGAGUGGAAUUCCUGGUGUAGCGGUGAAAUGCGCAGAUAUCAGGAAGAACACCCGUGGCUAAGGCGGCUCUCUAGUACGGUACUGACGCUGAGACGCGAAAGCGUGGGGAGCGAACAGG
This 253-nucleotide ribosomal RNA is filed under the name uncultured bacterium. RNAcentral's name for it is "partial 16S ribosomal RNA". It matches the Rfam family "Bacterial small subunit ribosomal RNA", at positions 524 to 776 of the family's 1533-position model. The record is from RNAcentral.